Long non-coding RNA from Oryctolagus cuniculus (rabbit), 865 nucleotides. RefSeq lists it as uncharacterized. The record is from RefSeq and is a predicted model, not a curated record. Lineage: Eukaryota; Metazoa; Chordata; Mammalia; Lagomorpha; Leporidae.
CCUCAUGCGCGGCCGCCAUGGCGCCGCGUGACGCAUAUGCACGCUUCCUCGUCCAGUGUCCGAUGCCACAGGGCCACUUCCAGUCCCACUGCUCCAGGCUUUGACCCAGGGACGCAGCCACUGUUGGCCCAGGAAUAUUUCCAGUGGUCCCAUGUUCCUGACUUUGGCUGUGGGUUGAACUGCUCAGCUGAAACUUCUGAGAAGUCACUGGCUGGAAUUUCAGAUUAUCUUGAGAACAGACCAGCAACAGAAGCUCCGUAGUGACUGGUGCCCUCCACCUGCAAGAUAAUGUCUCCACCAGCAAGAAAGCCAUCACCAGGUGUGGCCUCUCAAACCUGGACCACCGUCACAAGCCAGGGUCUGCAUUAUCAGGAAGUUGGAAUCAGGAGCUGGAGUUGGAAAUUGAACCUGGGCACUCCAAUAUCUAAAGACCUAAGGAUAUAUGUUACUGAUUGAUACUGGAAAUGCAGAUGGCGAUUUUGUUCUCUGAAAACUGAUGCCUGGCUUGUAAUGUGCAAUGGAACAGUUAUCUACUGCAUGGAGGAAAAGUAGAAAAAAUAACUAAAAAGCCAGAGAGAUGCAUUUUAUAUUGAAGAACUUGGGACAUUCAAUUUUUUUAAUUCACCAAAAACCGCUUGUCUGUACUUUCUUCAGAGUUUCUUCAGGUAAAAUUGAUAAAAUCUGGGUCGUUUGACAUUCUAAAAUGUAGAAAUUAAAGAAUUAGAAAUUUUAAUGGAAUGUGGGCACCUUAGACACCAUCAACCUUGUAAGGGUUAACAAAUAGUGUCAUGUUAUUUGAAAAAUUUCCCUGAAAAUAAACAUUUCAUUUUAAAUUUUCAAGACUAUAUUAAUACUAUAAUCCCUU